Microcebus murinus (gray mouse lemur) is the source of this 924-nucleotide non-coding RNA. NCBI's taxonomy places the organism in Eukaryota, Metazoa, Chordata, Mammalia, Primates, Cheirogaleidae. The record is from RefSeq and is a predicted model, not a curated record.
UCCAUGUUACCCAGGUCACAAUGCAUCAAGUUCUAGAGGGCAUCAACAAUUACCAGUUUAGACAGGAUACUCCAUGAUUUUAUGAGCAAAACCUACUCCUCCCCCUGGGUAAAUGAGAAUUCACUUCAACUAUUACCAGCCCAAAGGUUCACCUCCUUUCCCUGCCGUUUGACUCAGCUCUCCCCUAAGAAUCUUCCUGACACUUAAGUGAAAAUAUCAUAUGCAGAUGAAUGUGACAGUGUAUCGAAUUUGUGCCUUCCAUCUGAAGAACCAGGGGCUGAGGCUGGGUUUUCUCUGGGAUGCCAGAGAGAACACAAGGGCAGGCACUCAGAGCUAGAGUGAAGUUCAAAUAUAAGUAGAGGACCUAAGAAUAUACUGAAACAAAGGACGUGGAAUUGAAACCUUGAGAAAUUCACAGAAAAAUGAGGACCUCACUCUAAUUCUAAAUAAAAAGGGGGAGGUAGGAAGGCGGCAGCUCUCAUCCCAUUCCUACACACUCCAGUGUCCAAGCACAGCUAAGACUGGUUGAGUGCUCAGUACGUGCCAGUCAUUGUUCUCAGUACUUGGCUUUGAUGAGCUUUUUUUACACUUCUCAACAACUAUGUGAGGCAAGUGCUAUGACUGUCCCAUUAUUAUUAAGGACAUUGAGGCACAGAGAAAGUAAGUAACUUGCCCAGUUUCUCUAGCUGGUGGGAGAUAAUUCUGAAUUCUGACCUGUAUGGUUUGGCUUAAAGGCCUGUACACUUAAAUGCUAUGUUACAAUGCUUCCAGAAGUAGGAGAAGAGGAAAAUAAAGACCCAGAAUGGUUUUUAUAGCAACUGCCCUAACCACUCAGCAUCCUUACUGCCCACCUACCAGUCAUAUAAACCCCCAAUGCUAGCCUAUAACAGAGAAGAAGAAAGAAGCGUGUAUUUCUAGCCAAGU